AGCAGCCGCGGUAAUUCCAGCUCCAAUAGCGUAUAUUAAAGUUGUUGCAGUUAAAAAGCUCGUAGUUGAAUUUCAGGCCUGGCUGGACGGUCCGCCCUUCGGGUGAGUACUGUCUGUGGUCGGGUCCUACCUUCUGGCGAAGCGUCAUGGUCUUAACCGGCCGUGGCGGGGAACCAGGACUUUUACUGUGAAAAAUUAGAGUGUUCAAAGCAGGCAAAUCGCUUGGAUACAUUAGCAUGGAAUAAUGGAAUAGGACAAUGGUUCUAUUUGUUGGUUUCUAGGACCGUUGUAAUGAUUAAUAGGGAUAGUUGGGGGCAUUAGUAUUCAAUUGUCAGAGGUGAAAUUCUUGGAUUUAUUGAAGACUAACUACUGCGAAAGCAUUUGCCAAGGAUGUUUUCAUUAAUCAAGAACGAAAGUUAGGGGAUCGAAGACGAUCAGAUACCGUCGUAGUCUUAACCAUAAACUAUGCCGACUAGGAAUCGGGCGAUGUUGACAAAAUGACGCGCUCGGCA
RNAcentral lists this ribosomal RNA (512 nucleotides) under uncultured Paraglomus. RNAcentral describes it as "SSU rRNA". It matches the Rfam family "Eukaryotic small subunit ribosomal RNA", at positions 569 to 1085 of the family's 1831-position model. The record is from RNAcentral. Lineage: Eukaryota; Fungi; Glomeromycota; Glomeromycetes; Paraglomerales; Paraglomeraceae.